UACAGAGGGUGCGAGCGUUGUUCAGAGUUACUGGGCGUAAAGCGCGCGCAGGCGGCCUUUUAAGUCUACCCGUGAAAUGCCGGAGCUCAACUCCGUGCACGCCGGGGGAUACUGGGAGGCUGGAGACAGGUAGAGGCAAGCGGAAUUCCGGGUGUAGCGGUGGAAUGCGUAGAUAUCCGGAAGAACACCUGAGGCGAAGGCGGCCAACUGGGCUUGUUCUGACGCUGAGGUGCGAAAGCGUGGGGAGCGAACAGG
Molecule: ribosomal RNA, 255 nt
Filed under: uncultured bacterium
Lineage: Bacteria
Description: partial 16S ribosomal RNA
Rfam family: Bacterial small subunit ribosomal RNA
Source: RNAcentral